This 253-nucleotide ribosomal RNA is filed under the name uncultured bacterium. Its description in RNAcentral is "partial 16S ribosomal RNA". It matches the Rfam family "Bacterial small subunit ribosomal RNA", at positions 524 to 776 of the family's 1533-position model. The record is from RNAcentral.
UACGUAGGGUGCGAGCGUUAAUCGGAAUUACUGGGCGUAAAGCGUGCGCAGGCGGUUCGUUGUGUCGGUGGUGAAAUCCCCGGGCUUAACCUGGGAAUGGCCAUGGAAACUGGCGAACUGGAGUGUGGCAGAGGGGGGUGGAAUUCCGCGUGUAGCAGUGAAAUGCGUAGAGAUGCGGAGGAACACCGAUGGCGAAGGCAGCCCCCUGGGCUAACACCGACGCUCAGGCACGAAAGCGUGGGGAGCAAACAGG